UACGGGGGGAGCAAGCGUUGUUCGGAUUUACUGGGCGUAAAGGGCGCGUAGGCGGCCAGCACAAGUCAGUUGUGAAAUCUCCGAGCUUAACUCGGAACGGUCAACUGAUACUGUGCGGCUAGAGUGCGGUAGGGGAGACUGGAAUUCCUGGUGUAGCGGUGAAAUGCGCAGAUAUCAGGAGGAACACCGGUGGCGAAGGCGGGUCUCUGGGCCGUAACUGACGCUGAGGAGCGAAAGCGUGGGGAGCGAACAGG
RNAcentral lists this ribosomal RNA (254 nucleotides) under uncultured bacterium. RNAcentral describes it as "partial 16S ribosomal RNA". It matches the Rfam family "Bacterial small subunit ribosomal RNA", at positions 524 to 776 of the family's 1533-position model. The record is from RNAcentral.